AGUAAAAAAAAAACAUGCCACUUGUCCAUCCCUAGGAGAAUAUUGUUGUUUGUUUACAUCUUUUGUAAAUCAAAUUUGCUAGAAUUAAUACAAAAAAAUGUCAAGUAUUGUUGAUUGGGAAAAUAAAGAACUCUUUAAUGCAGAAUUUAGUAAAAAUAUUCGUUCAGAACUUAAAAAAUUCAGGAUGCCUACGAAGAAUGGGUGGCCGAUCACCCAACUCUGGCAGGGGAUUUGAAAGAGGUUUUAAAGUGGGUGACCCUUUAUUUCUCAGGAAACGUUUCGUCAGUGGCUUUUAUGGUCAUGGUUUCAAAAAAUUUGAUAACAAACUACAAUCAACGAAUCCUCGCUCGGAAAAAUGACCCGAAGACAAGGAAACUUUAAGCCUUAAUUUUAUCUAAAAUUUCUAAAAAUGUGACAUUAAAAAAAAUGUUGGAAUAAAAUAGAUAAA
This is a long non-coding RNA of Drosophila ananassae, 448 nucleotides long. RefSeq lists it as uncharacterized. The record is from RefSeq and is a predicted model, not a curated record. NCBI's taxonomy places the organism in Eukaryota, Metazoa, Arthropoda, Insecta, Diptera, Drosophilidae. The transcript is spliced from 2 exons.